Branchiostoma belcheri (Belcher's lancelet) is the source of this 2614-nucleotide long non-coding RNA. RefSeq lists it as uncharacterized. Lineage: Eukaryota; Metazoa; Chordata; Leptocardii; Amphioxiformes; Branchiostomatidae. The record is from RefSeq and is a predicted model, not a curated record. The transcript is spliced from 2 exons.
CAGUCAUCAAGGACAAACGCCCGUCUCAACAUUCUGCAACCAUCUCCUUCUAAGUCCAUGGUGCAACAAACUUCAGGAACUGGUGCGGAGGCUGUGGCUGGUUAAAUUGUUGCGGCAAAUAGUAAAUGUAGACUGAGAUUUGGACCUGUUUGCCUCCAUUUCCAGAUCAGUGAUAUGUGAAAAAGUCCUUCCUGUAAGAACUAAAAGGUUAACACAUUAUUUGCCAGGACUACAUGUAUAUAUAACCUUCAGACAGAAUCAGGGCCACCACUGACAGUGUAAAAGUUAUUCAGUUUUAAGUAUUCGGUGUGUGACCCAAAGGAAAUGUGAUGUUGGCUGCAUGUGUGACGAGCAGGCCUCAGGCUAACCAACAGGCUACACCAGAGACAGAGGGUUUACUGAAACAGUUGGGCAGGCUAGUGGCCCGGCUACAUUGGAUACAUGUGUGACGAGCAGGCCUCAGGCUAACCAACAGGCUACACCAGAGACAGAGGGUUUACUGAAACACUUGGGCAGGCUAGUGGCCCGGCUACAUUGGAUACAUGUGUAGUGACCCGGACUGGCUAACCGGCUGGCCACACUACUGUAAUCAGCUUCCAGUUCGCUGUAUAUAAAGCUCAUAAAUAUUCCACAGGUUCUUGUACCAAUUGCAAAUUUCUGUGAGUCGCUUGUCAAACUGAUUUGUAUGAAACCUGUGACGAGAAAUUGCAGAUAAAUUCUCUACCCUUUAGCCUUAACAUCGCCGAUUACCUCUCAAUAGAACCUGAAGAUGAGUGGAUAUUACUGUAUUGUCAAGUGUAGACUGUUACACUGAGUCGUAGAAAAAUGUGGAAGAACAUUAGAUAAGAGCAUCAACCUGGGAACAUGCUGUGAAUUAUUGAACUGUAAAUAUUCGGGGAAAAGUAUGAUGUAUGUUUGGUGUGUUACAACAGUUCAGAACUGUGAUGUUGGAUAACUGUGUGCUGUUUUUACUGAGUGAAUUCUGUAUGUCAGACCAAUGAGUAGGAUGCACAUUGUGUAUUCACACUACCAUAGGUAACAUACUCCCCACAUGUACUUGUAUUGUUAGGGGAGUCUGAGCAGUUUUGUAGUGUUCUAUAGGUUACACAGCAGCUCUGUAAUGUUCUGUAUGUUACACAGCAGCUCUGUAAUGUUCUGUAUGUUACACAGCAGUUCUGUAAUGUUCUGUAGGUUACACAGCUGUUCUGUAAUGUUCUGUAGGUUACACAGCAGCUGUGUAAUGUUCUGUAGGUUACACAGCAGUUCUGUAAUGUUCUGUAGGUUACACAGCAGCUCUGUAAUGUUCUGUAGGUUACACAGCAGCUGUGUAAUGUUCUGUAGGUUACACAGCAGCUCUGUAAUGUUCUGUAGGUUACACAGCAGCUCUGUAAUGUUCUGUAUGUUACACAGCAGCUCUGUAAUGUUCUGUAUGUUACACAGCAGCUCUGUAAUGUUCUAUAGGUUACACAGCAGCUCUGUAAUGUUCUGUAGGUUACACAGCAGCUCUGUAUUGUUCUGUAGGUUACACAGCAGCUCUGUAAUGUUCUGUAGGUUACACAGCAGCUCUGUAAUGUUCUGUAUGUUACACAGCAGUUCUGUAAUGUUCUGUAGGUUACACAGCAGUUCUGUAAUGUUCUGUAGGUUACACAGCAGCUGUAUAUAUUGUCCCAUCUGUUGGUCAAACCUUGAUGCUGUCAAAGUGCAAUAGAUUUCUGCGAGUGCCAGGUUGAAAUGAGUUGGAUUUUGUGCAAUGUUAGAAUCAUAGAAGCCAAGCUCUGUAGCCAAUAAUGAUAAUUUUGCUAGGUAGUCAUAUUUGUGCAAUAUGUCAUGUUAGUUGCAAAACAGUAAUGUACGUUUUAUAUCAGAACGGCAGAUUAUGCAAUUAUACUGACAUUACUGUAUGUCUGAACAUGACAGGUUAAGGCUUACACAUUUGGUGUUUGGGUUUAUUUCAUUUUUGUUUUUGAAUUUUUGUAGUCUUCCAAAAGCUGGAAACUUUAUUGCCAUACCGACUGCUCUGAGUUUCUCAGUGGCACUUUAUUUGUGCUGCAGAUCAUUUUGUUGUCUUCCAUUCUGCAAUGAAAAUGCCUUUAUUACUAGUAAGUUUGCAAUCAUGUAAAGCAUUUUAAUAUUAUGCUGUACAGAUUCUAUUAUGUAUAUUUCAAUGUUGUACAUGAAUGGCUGGAGGUAUAAUUGUAUGCGCAUAGUCAUUGUAAAUAGUACAUUAUGUGGAAUGUCAUUAUGAAGACUAGAAAAUACUGGUCACUUUGGAAAGUCUACAGGCGUAACAUUGGAGCCUAUUUUACCGCAGGGUGUACAGGGAAGCUAUGCCGAAACAUUCUGUGAAAAUAUUACUCCGUUUUUUACUUCAUAUGUGCAACUUUGGGUAUCUUUUAACUGCAUAAGGUACAGCUGUAUGUUGUUAUAAAUAUAUGUAACUACAUGUAUGAAAUUUGUUCGACAUUUCCCUCUUGUGGCUUCGUUUCCAGUGACCAGUAUUCGGAUACUAAGCACAGAAAACAGCCGCCCUGACUUCAGAUUUGCUUUAGGAGACCGUCCUGCGCAGCUGUAUAGCAUGUGAAAACUUAGAUUAAAGUGGUGUCCGGUCAUGAGA